ACCACCUUAUUUGGAUGGCAAAUCUGAUGCAGAGUGAAAGAAAAUGUGGGAGAUUGCUAAGGGUGCCUUUGGUUAUACUUUUUGAUUUUAAAAAAAAAUAUAUAUAUAUAUAUUUUGAUUUUUGCUAUUGAGUAAAAGUAAAAAAGUAAAAAAUAUGUUUGGUAACUAUGUUGCUAUAAAGCAAAAAGUAAUAUUUGGAGAUGGC
This 205-nucleotide long non-coding RNA is filed under the name Elaeis guineensis (African oil palm). Its description in RNAcentral is "long non-coding RNA (EGUI_LNC021056)". The record is from RNAcentral. Lineage: Eukaryota; Viridiplantae; Streptophyta; Magnoliopsida; Arecales; Arecaceae.